UCUUUAGCUGUUCCGUGUCAGAACCUUUUUUCUCCGUGAACUUCAUCUCGUCAGGCGUCUAGAGCUAAACCAUCCGAUUAGACUCUCCACUUUUAGAUUUCAGAUUGUUAGUGAAAGGACCUGGACCUGGACCUGGACUUUGUGCUCCUCUCUUCAGGUAACGUUCAGCAGGUCAUCAGAGAACUGCUUUACCCACAAUCCAGCAGGCAGCUCAGGUGUGAGGCUCUGUUCUCACCACCAGAUGGCGUCAGAUCCAACAGAACCAGAGGAGGAGGGAACCUGUGAGGAUGAAGGCUUGGAGAUUCAUUCAGAGGGACAGAAACUGGUCCGGAAACGAGUCCAGGACAGAUUCCAGAUCAGAUGUGUGAUGAAAAAAACUACUCAAUUUAAAUGUAACGACCACAAAAGAAUGUAAAACGAUUCAAGAUAUGAUGUAAAACAACUGCAAAAAGUGUAAAAUGACCAAAAAUGUGACAAUAAACAAGUACAAAGAUAUCAAAAUUGACACAAAUGUGACACCAAAUGUCAAAUGCAAAACGACCAAAAUUAAACGCACAAACAGCCACAAA
Acanthochromis polyacanthus (spiny chromis) is the source of this 569-nucleotide long non-coding RNA. RefSeq lists it as uncharacterized. Lineage: Eukaryota; Metazoa; Chordata; Actinopteri; Pomacentridae. The record is from RefSeq and is a predicted model, not a curated record. The transcript has 3 exons.